RNAcentral lists this long non-coding RNA (564 nucleotides) under Manacus vitellinus (golden-collared manakin). Its description in RNAcentral is "lncRNA (ENSMVIG00005002826.1)". Lineage: Eukaryota; Metazoa; Chordata; Aves; Passeriformes; Pipridae. The record is from RNAcentral.
ACAGUCUGACAGAGUUCUGUCUACCUGGGAUCAGCCACCCUUUCAACAUGAGAUGGACAAGCUCCUUCCAGAAGUGCCCUUUCCACCCACCCUUCUUUGCAGAAGAAAAGAAUAAGAGCUCGACUGUAGCUGCCUUUGAGUGGUCAUGCCCAGCUGUGAAGGAACUGUGUGGUGAGGAAAAGCACCAAGCAGAAAUGGACAAUCUGCUAAAACAAAAAGCAGCAUGGAAAACAGCAAAAUCCCAAGUGUGCUGGAAGUGAUGGAAGACCAGACUCUGCACUGGCACCUGUACAUUUAUUACUAUGAUCAUAACUCUGCAAUUCUCUGGCAUUAAUACAGUUGGUUAUCUGCCCAUCUCCACACAAAACAACUCUUCAGUUCAAGCUUGCAGACACUGUAAAAUACAUUGUAUCUGCGUGGGAGUCAAGCAGUCAUGAGAUUUACUCCUGGCCAUCAACUGGCUGCUGAUUUGGUUUUGGAUAUUUUCACCCAUCCAUCUGUCAUUCUUUUUGGAAAACUGGCAUUUAACAUCUACUGACCUAACAGAGCUUCACUGACCUGGCA